AUAAAGAACACAUGUGACAGCAAGUCCAGGUAUUACUAGAUGUGGAAUACAAAAAUUUGUUUAUCUACCCGGUUGUGUUGUGUAUUCUGGUCAGUUCAUGUGUGUAUGUGUUGCCCUCGCGGUGUACGAGAGGCCGCCCAUGAGGAAGUCGCCGAUCUGGUCGAGGCAUGUUGCUAUUCUCUAUUUCCGGUAGCACAAACAUUUAAAAGUUCGAACACCAAACCCUGGUAAGUUCAUCUUGACAAAAACUCAUCUCCCAUAUUUGUUCCUUUUUCGUAGGAUGAAGUCAAAACAAGAUGCACAAGUUCAUAUUUUCUAUGCUUUUCAGUUCAUCUACUUCCCGAUGGUGAGUCUGAUUUCCUUUGUGUUUCCAUCUCCUUCAUAUAGCACAAACAAGUACUUGUCAUUGUGCUUGAGAAUGAGCACCAUACUAUCACUUUGGUUAAUGAAUUUUGUAGAAAUUUCUCUCGGAAUUCUAAUGUAGAACUGCUGCUAACUUCACAAUUAUAAGGACCAUGCAUGUUAUCCAAUGAGCCAUCAAUUGAAGCAAUUUCGAAUACAGAGAGGCAAAUACACAUGGUUCCCAACUAAUAGAUACUAAUGUUCUUUUAGCACAUUGCUAGUAGUUGUAUCAGUUACCUUUCUUUUGGAGCUAUGUAAUUGAUAAAUAACCAAGAGGAAAAGUGCACCAUCCCAACUACUCGCCGCCCCCACGCGUGGUUGCUUUCCUCCUCCCGUGCACGUAUGCCACCUCAGCUGCUACAAAUUCUUGUGUGGGUCACCGUUCCUCACUCUGGAAUGUGUCACCACCACCAUGACCUCCCCCAGCCAGCCCCCACGGCCUGCCUCAAUGGUGCCAGGCAUGCCCUCGAGCUGGUCUAGAACCACCACGACGUCCAGCACCGUUCCCUUACAUAUGUGAGGUGCUCGUGUGUUGGGGUGUUGCAUCUACGGCGAGGUCGCCGUACUGCACCAGCUCCAUGUCACUAACCUCAUCUCUGGUUUCUCUUCUAUAUGACCUAUAGGGGUUCUUCGGUGGAGGUUCAACAAAAUGACCAGCAUCAGUUCAUGCCUCCAUCCACCACGCCAUCAGGAACACAAUUGGUGAGAAACACCUUCGUGCUCCUCCUCUCCUACUCUUCAGUUCACAUACUGCCAUCCAUGAAGGCCAUUUUUUCUUGGAAUCUAGAUUUUGAUCAGAGCUCUGUAAAAAGUCCAUUUAAAAGUACUCAAGUCCAACUUGAAAACCAAUAGCAGUCCACUAGAUGAAAAAUUUAGUGCUCAUCAGUACGACAAGCAGCAAUACUGAUUAGUAUGACUUACACAAAUACUAGUACUGAUUAGUACUUUCUUAAUGUUAAAGAUGAGCAGUAAAAGAUACAAGUUGCAGUUCCAGGGCAAUAACAUACUAGGUAAAGCUGAAUGUACCUAACCAGUUCAAUAACAUCAUCUCCUUGGCAAAAAAGUAGUUAAAAAGGUCGAACUGACAUCUGCUUCAGAAUUUCGCACAAAAAAUAUUUAUCUGUAUUUGUCUUUUUCAUGUUGAAUUAUUUGAAGUAAAACAAAAAUAGCUCAGUUCUGUGACUUUCAUCAUUUGAAGAACUACAUGCCUCAUGUUUGAACUUUCAAUUUGUUUAAAACUAAACUGAUGGUGCUCUUGUUUCAGGGUCAGGGGAGAAGGCAGAAUCUCUGGGUGCAUGAUGGAAAAAAUUGCAAGUUCUUGUUUAGAUGUUCAGGAUACCCUUCUCUCAUUUCAUUUAUGCUCAGGAUAGGAGGUGCAUGAUGGAAAAUUGCGUAUCAUGUAGUUCUUGUUUAGAUGUCGUGCAAGUUCAAAAUUAGUCAAUUUUGCCACUGGAGAGAACCCGUUGGUUGCAUUGUUUUUCCAGUGUGACGUCCCUUGGUAUGUUUGGAGUAUUGUUAUUGUUGCUCUGCAUGCAAAUGACUUAGCUUGUCUUGCUAAGAUGAGGAUGCUUGUGCGUGAGUCUUGAAAUUUAAGAGGUCGGGGGAGAUGAAUAAUU
This 2018-nucleotide long non-coding RNA is filed under the name Triticum aestivum (bread wheat). Its description in RNAcentral is "long non-coding RNA (TAES_LNC020053)". Lineage: Eukaryota; Viridiplantae; Streptophyta; Magnoliopsida; Poales; Poaceae. The record is from RNAcentral.